Homo sapiens (human) is the source of this 79-nucleotide microRNA precursor. Ensembl annotates it as microRNA 4782. NCBI's taxonomy places the organism in Eukaryota, Metazoa, Chordata, Mammalia, Primates, Hominidae. The record is from Ensembl.
AUUGCCCAGUUCUGGAUAUGAAGACAAUCAAGAAAAGAUUUGGUGUUCUUGAUUGUCUUCAUAUCUAGAACUGGGCAGU